This 404-nucleotide long non-coding RNA is filed under the name Rattus norvegicus (Norway rat). RNAcentral's name for it is "long non-coding RNA NONRATT026590". The record is from RNAcentral. Lineage: Eukaryota; Metazoa; Chordata; Mammalia; Rodentia; Muridae.
CGGCCGCCCAUAAAGUUCCCGUGUUUCUGUGAGUCACUAAUUACUCUUCCAAGUUAGACUUGACUGAGCUAAGUUCUUCGGACGACCGUGGGUUCCGUGUCGAGGGUGAAAAAAACAUUUAUUUAGCUUCCGGGAAGAGUUGACGCAAUCGUGCCACAUUCAAGACAGGAUCAUCACAGCCACUCCUAAAUGGGCACCAUUAUCUCUGGCCAUGUGGCUGGCUCGCUGCAUGUUUAAGUCAAUAUUUGUUUGCGAGAGUGUUUUGCCUGCUCGUGUACAAGUUCCCACAUAUGUGCCUGGUGCUCCCACGGGUACUGGGAACUGGACUUCAAUCCUCUGCAAGAACAGUACUCCUAAUCACUGAAUCAUUACUCCAGCUCUCUUGUGUUAACGCUGAUGCUUCU